Lycium barbarum (goji berry) is the source of this 796-nucleotide long non-coding RNA. RefSeq lists it as uncharacterized. NCBI's taxonomy places the organism in Eukaryota, Viridiplantae, Streptophyta, Magnoliopsida, Solanales, Solanaceae. The transcript is spliced from 2 exons. The record is from RefSeq and is a predicted model, not a curated record.
CAUUUUUAUAGAAGACACACAAUACAAAUAAUUUUCAGAUCUUUGCCCUCUCCUCUUCUAAACCUAAUUAAAAAUAUCCUCUCCACAUCAUCCUCCCCUCAUCCGCCGCCAGCCCCUCCACGCCGGAGCUCCUAGCUCCGGUGACCCCAACAACACCCCAACAUCACAACGACAUCACCGCUCUCCUUCUCCCCCUCUUCGUCUUCUUCGCUGCUCCGGCGAGGAGCUUCUAGCUCCGGUGAACCGGAGCAGCCAACAACAAGCCGCCACAACUCCCACCGCGGCCACUGCCUCUCUUUUUCGUCACCGUCAACGACACCCCUAGCAGCCAACAACCAACGCCACCCCCUUUCCUUUUGUUUGUCACUGACACCACUAUUUAUGGCCCAAAACGGAAUUUUUUCUGCUUUAAAGUUUUGGAUCUGACCGGAAAACAUCCAUUAAAAUCGGUUGUUUGCUUGCAAAUGUCUACUGAGCCAAUUUGUGCCACUUUUGUUCUUUUUUGGGUUAAUUUUCUUUGCUUUCUUUUUUUGUUCUCUUUGGCUGCAGGUUGUUUUCUUGCAAAUGUCUACUGAUAUCCUCAUUCCGUCCUGGAUUUUCAAUUGAUUGUUGAUUGUGGGGAGCUAUCAAGACUUCUUUUUCAGGUAUGGGGAAAUACAUCUCAAAGACGAUACUCGGAAGGCAACCGAAUCACUGUUUGUAUUUACUUUCCGCGUUCUUUAAACUUGUACAUAACAUAAACUCGUACUAUAGUGGAAAUAUUAUUUUUUGAAUGUCCGGUGGAGAUAUUUAUUUA